Molecule: ribosomal RNA, 426 nt
Filed under: uncultured prokaryote
Description: bacterial SSU rRNA
Rfam family: Bacterial small subunit ribosomal RNA
Source: RNAcentral
UAGGGAAUAUUAGAAAUGGACGAAAGCCUGACCGAGCAACGCCGCGUGAAUGAUGAAGGCCUUCGGGUUGUAAAAUUCUGUUAUAAGGGAAGAAUGGCUCUAGUAGGAAAUGGCUAGAGUGUGACGGUACCUUAUGAGAAAGCCACGGCUAACUACGUGCCAGCAGCCGCGGUAAUACGUAGGUGGCGAGCGUUAUCCGGAAUUAUUGGGCGUAAAGAGCGCGCAGGUGGUUGAUUAAGUCUGAUGUGAAAGCCCACGGCUUAACCGUGGAGGGUCAUUGGAAACUGGUCAACUUGAGUGCAGAAGAGGGAAGUGGAAUUCCAUGUGUAGCGGUGAAAUGCGUAGAGAUAUGGAGGAACACCAGUGGCGAAGGCGGCUUCCUGGUCUGUAACUGACACUGAGGCGCGAAAGCGUGGGGAGCAAACA